Molecule: ribosomal RNA, 497 nt
Filed under: uncultured bacterium
Lineage: Bacteria
Description: partial 16S ribosomal RNA
Rfam family: Bacterial small subunit ribosomal RNA
Source: RNAcentral
GAUGAACGCUGGCGGCGUGCCUAAUACAUGCAAGUCGAGCGAACAGACGAGGAGCUUGCUCCUCUGACGUUAGCGGCGGACGGGUGAGUAACACGUGGAUAACCUACCUAUAAGACUGGGAUAACUUCGGGAAACCGGAGCUAAUACCGGAUAAUAUAUUGAACCGCAUGGUUCAAUAGUGAAAGACGGUUUUGCUGUCACUUAUAGAUGGAUCCGCGCCGCAUUAGCUAGUUGGUAAGGUAACGGCUUACCAAGGCAACGAUGCGUAGCCGACCUGAGAGGGUGAUCUGCCACCCUGGAACUGAGACACGGUCCAGACUCCUACGGGAUGCAGCAGGAGGGAAUCUUCCGCAAUGGGCGAAAGCCUGACGGAGCAACGCCGCGUGAGUGAUGAAAGUCUUCGGAUCGUAAAACUCUGUUAUUAGGGAAGAACAAAUGUGUAAGUAACUAUGCACGUCUUGACGGUACCUAAUCAGAAAGCCACGGCUAACUACGUG